This 244-nucleotide long non-coding RNA is filed under the name Marmota monax (woodchuck). Lineage: Eukaryota; Metazoa; Chordata; Mammalia; Rodentia; Sciuridae. The record is from RNAcentral.
UUCGUGUAUUAAAAUAAUCAAAAUCUGUCAUCUUGGCUUUCUUUUCUCUGGCUUCAGUCUUCUUGGCCCACUUUGUGGCCACACGUUUUGUACUGAUAUCUGCCUUCUGCCAGGCCUGUGGGACAUACUGCUGGAGGACACUGUGUGGUAACUUAAGGAUAGAGUCAGUUAGCCGCAGGCAUUUGGGAGGCACAGCCUACUUCCUUGCCUGAGUACACUCCAUCCACCAAAGCCCUGUUCUGAA